ACCAUGCUCUUUUAAUAAUCUUCCCAUUAGGGAAUCCAACUACUGAAGAAGGAUAUAACCUUGAGAGAUUUAACCAAUCCUUGAAUCUAGUAUUCAUAAUGUGUCAUCUGAUCAUAGAAAAAAAAUAUUAUCAGACUGCACUGAUAAAUAGUGGCUUGACCCUGAAGUCUUCCUCUGGCAUAAGUACAAACUUAGGAUGUCCUGGAAGCUGAAACUCUAACUCAAAUAUAAGCAAUGCAGAGUGUUCAUUAAGGAUGUUUCAUCUGAAAGAAACAUGCUAGCAGUCUAACAUCACAUUCCUGUAUCAAUCAUAACACAAAACGCAGAACGAAAAGUCUUCCAUCCUCCGAAUUCCUCCCACUUCUCCCCAAGUUACAUCUUCUAGCAGCUCACCCCUGUGAAGAGGAACUUUGUUAGUGUUUUCCAGUAAAUGAAUGAGGAAUUACUGAAAUAGUCCUGAAAUUGGUCUUAUGCUUGAGCCUGCUUUCUUUUCCUCCAGCAUUUCCGGUUGAAUCUCGUUCCACAGAUUUUCCUGCAGUCUCUUCAACUUCAGACAAGGCCUUUGCUGAGCUCACUCCAAGAAUUUCUCUUCAUUUCUGCAGGGAAAUAACCUAAGGCGCCACAAUAUUACCUAUCAGGGCAGCAUAGCAGAGCUGAAAUCUCUGUGAAGAAGAGGAUUUACCCUAAGGAGAAGAGAAAAUGGAGUCAGAAGUCAGAGUGAAGGAAAGCAUUGAAAGUAAGUGACAACAGAAAACAGUAACUUUCAUCAAAUUGCUUUUGCAUCUGGCGCCUGUCUUCUACGUUGCCAAAUAUAUGCACUCCUGCAUGAUGGAGCGUGGGAGGGCUGUGAUUAGUCUCAGGAAGAGAGGGGCAGAUGUCGGACAUUCUGCAGCAUUCAACACAAGUGAACAGCAUUUAGAAAAACAAGACACUUAUGUUGCCCCAGGAGAGCUCAUCUUUCAAGAAAAUAUGAACCACUGAAUUUUGUAGGGGUGCACGGAUCCAAGCUGCUAGACACUGGAGCAAGUUUCAUACAAGCGUGUCUGAGCUUCAGCAUUGUAUAGCAGAAGUUUUCUUCAGAAGGAGCCCAAGAAGAGUAUAUCCUCAACCUACACCUUUUUUUAGUUUGAAUUUCCUACACUAUCUUUGAGAUGCCUCUCAGCCAGAUGACUUCUCACUUCCACUAACCCUUUUUAUAGUUAAGUGACUGUAUGAGGUUUCACAGUACUACUCUAGAGGCUUACAAGUCAGUCUCAUGAGUUCGCCUACAGCUCCAGUUCCUCUUGUAGCAAUCGUUUACUUCCAGAUUGGAAGAUCCAUACAAAAUGGAAAGUAUGUAUAGUAUGGAAAGUGGCUUGAGGAUGUGUUCAAUGACCAGCCUUCAAUAUAACUAAUCUUAUAAAAGGAAAUCUCAUCAGCAAGAUGUAUAAAAUGCUGGUGGGGAUUAACUACAAUAUCGAACCUAAGAAGAACUCAUAACUGUUGGAAGUAAUAACAACAGGGCUAUCGUUUGCAUAUUCUUUGCCAUACAACACACCAGUUGACAAACCCCCCUAAUAAAAGGCUCAGACCAAUUGGAGGAGAGGCAGUAACAAUCCAUACUGAUCUGACUGAAAUUUUUGUAAAUAGAUUAAGCAAUACAGGCUGAAGGACACCAGAGAAAUGACUGAAAUAUUGCUAAAUGCCCCCUGAAAGUCAUUUAGCUUAGGCUCUGGUUGCAAACAAACUGGAUUAUGGAAGUGCUGUCAUCAAGAAAGAUUAUAUUAUGUUCAAACAGAUUCAUCAGGUGCAAUCAAGUCAAUCUCUAUUCAGGGAGAAACAAAGCACUCUGUUAAAAAUAAGUCCAUAUCAUAACAUUGUCCAGGGAAUAUUAUGGUUGAUAGUGAAUGUGAGCUGAAAAAAAUUCUCAGUCAUCUCUCUUAUUCACAGUAAAAAAAGAACAAACACUUUCUAAACAGUUGAGAUUCAUUGUUAGAUAGCAAGCCAUGAAAAUUGUAUGUCAGUAAGCAUUUUUUUCCCCCACGCAGAGUUUAGUUAAGAAAUGUAACAUACAGGGUAGUGUCUUUCUGCCAUAUAUUCAGUGCUUCUUGCUUAAGACAGGGAUCAACCUUCGCAUACGAUCCUGCAAAUAACACACAGCUGGAAAUCCAGAAAUGAAUGUAUGUCAUGCAACACCUACUGAUUAUCAAAAGGCUUGACUGUGGACUUCCAAGGAGCCACACUGAGACCUUGCAAGAUCUGACAGCUCUUCUUUCUAUGUUUCUAACACCUCAUUUGAACAUUUAAGCAAGUUUUAGCAACUGGGAUCAUCUGUCCAGCCUAUCCACUCAUCCCAUGUGCCUGUAAUCUGUCAUAAAUUCAGGUUUCAUUAUUGGCAGAAUUUAUGAGCUGGGAUUAUGUUGUCUUUGUAGAAGAGACUAGUAUGAUAACAAAGGAAUGGUUUUCUGAGACAAUAAAACUCUAAAAGUCACUCUAGAGACGUUUUGGAAAAUAAGAUCAAAGUUCUUUGAAAAUAAUCCCAUAAAACUACUGCAACUAAUACUACUUUAAGUAUCUGGUUUGCAAAGACAUUUGAGCAGUACACUGACAAACAUUGCAGUCCAUUUUCAAAUUGAUUUAGACACCAAAGGCAAAAGCUACAAACAAAAGUGGUAACUUGUGGUCCUCAGCAAGGGGAAGAGGGAUGAGGUCCUCAGAAAAGUGACCUGAAACCAAAUCUUUCCUACAACAGGAAGGCACUCCAACUUCCUUACUAUUCACAGGAUACAGGUGUUUAUCUGCUCUGCUUUCGGCCUCCUGGAUCUCAAGUUGUUUUUUUUUUUUUUUUUUUUUUUUUUUUUUUUUUUUUUUUUAAGAUGAAAUCUGGUAAGAGUGGUCUGAGAAAGAAAAAACAGUUUGAACCAUCCAGGUCUUUUUUUGAAUCCUGAUGUAGUCUAAACGUGAGUUAGCUACAUUGUCCCACAAUUACCAAAGGUUUAGGAUGCUUUCCUCUUGUAGAGAAACAGAUAUAAAACUGUGUGGAUUUGGAGAUGCUGACUAGGCACAUUUGUUCUCCUGUAGGUCUCAUUCUUAGUUUCAUUGAAUACAAGUGGGGCUUACUCUUCUUCAUGACCAAGCCAUGACUAAAAGUGAUUCUUGGCCAUCCAAAAAACUUUGACCUUGUAAUACUAGGAUAACUCAGAGCAUCUUCAUACUUGCUCAGAUGAAUCAUUUCUUCUAAUUGCUGAAAAGGAGUUUUGGGGAGAGGAACAAGGCUAGAAAAUGUUACGCAGUUUCAUUCUCCCAUACUGCAGCAGCUGACAUAGACUUUAUCAUGUUUCCUUUCCCCACAUAUUCCCUCUCCCCUCACAGCUUCAAGUGAAGCAGAAAAAAUUCCUCUGCCUACCUCCAUUUCUCCCUCCUUCUCCUGCACCACACAGUGUUACUGCUAAUCAGCAACAUUUUCUUUGGCUGACAGCUCAACCCCAUGUUGUCUCCUGAUCAAUGCUGAUACAGCACAUCCCAGCACACAGGAAAGGACAAAAGAAGGCAUAGAGGUCUGGGAGGGUAGUAAGAGUAACUGUGGGUUAUAUAUUGAGUUGUGCUAUGUGCACAUCUAUGUGGACACUUGGUAUGCCCAUGCCUUCAGCACUGACGGUCAAAGAGCAUCCUGAAUGAGUGCCAUCCUGUUACUCUGGAUGAGUGGUUCAUGCUGUUCCAGUCCCAAGCAGAAGGAAUAAAACCUCAAGGUGGCUAUGCAAAGUGGUAUAGGGAUCAAAAAUGCAGACAGUGUGGGAAAUAAUUAUAUCCAGUUUGUUAUGUAGUCACCAUCACCUUUCAGGUAGGUCUUUCCAGGGUGUUCUCCCAGUGUAGCUGAAGAAAAAGGACACUAUUCUCUUUUCCAUUACCCCCCAACCAAGGUGCGUGACUACUGACCAAAAGUGAAAUCAGGAAUGCUGUGGGCAACAGGCAUUUUAGUUUCACACCUUAAACAUGAGACAGGGAAUGAGCAGAAUAAAUGUAAGUUCUUCCUUCAUGUCAGACCUCACAGAGGAAGCAGCUGUAGGAACAGUGAUACUCUCCCAGCAUGUGAGUGGGAAAGGCAGAAAAGGUUGGGAUUAAAGCCCCAGUUCUUGCACCUUGUAUAGAGAAGCCUCUUCUAGCUCAUGUAAAGUAAUCCUGUGGUGACAAAGGCAGCCUGUGGUUGUUGAAAUCUGAGGCUCAGUAAUACAGACAGAGCAGCAGCUCUUGGAACUACUGAUGCUGAAACUCCAGCCUCCACAGAAUCACAUAAUGGCCCAGAUUGGAAGGGACCUCAAGGAUCAUGAGCCACCCCUGCCACAGGCAGGGCCAACCAACCUCCACAUUUGAUACUAGACCAAGCUGCCCAAGGCCCUAUCCAACCUGGCCUUGAACACCUCUGGGGAUGGGGAAUCCAUAACCUCUCUGGGCAGCCUGUUCCAGCACCUCACCACUCUCAUAUUAAAGAGCUUCCCCCUGACAUCCAAACUAAUUCUUCCCUCUUUCAACUUAAAACCAUUUCCCCUUGUCCUGCUGUUAUCUACCCUUUCAAAGAGUUGACUCCACUCCUGUUUAUAGGUUCCCUUUAGGUACUGAAAGGCUGCAAUGAGGUCACCCCCACAUCCUUCUUUUCUUCAGGCUGAACAAGCCCAGCUCCCUCAGCCUGUCUUCACCAGGGAGGUGCUCCAGCCCUCUGGUCAUCUUUCUGGCCCUUCUCUGGACCCUCCUCAACAGCUCUUUGUCUUUCUUGUAUUGGGGGCUACAGACCUGGAUGCAGUACUCAAGAUGGGGCCUCAUGAGGGCAGAGUAGAGAGGGACAAUCACCUCCCUGUCCUUGCUGGCCACCCCUCUUCUGGUGGAGCCCAGGAUACCAUUUGCUUUCUGAGCUGCAAGAGCACACUGCUGGCUCAUGUUCAGUUUUUCAUCCACCAGGACCCCCGGGUCCUUCUCUUCAGGGCUAGUCUCAAGGAAUGUUCCUUCCAGCCUGUAUAUAUGCUUGGGAUUCCUCUGACCCAAGUGAAAAACCUUGCACUUUGCUGUGUUGAACCUCAUUAAAUUCACCCGGGGCCCACCUUUUAAGUCCACUGAGGUACCUUUGAAUGACAUCCCUUCCUUCCACCGUGUCAACCACACCACUCCUCUUGGUGUCAUCAGUAAACUUGCUGAGGGUGCAGUCAAUUCCAUCAUUGGUGUCACUGAUAAAGAUGUUAAAGAACACAACCUCCUGCAGUUGCUGGCAAAGUUCGUCAUAUUCUAUGCUGGAUUUGGACAUAGAUCCUGAUAAUCUUGAAUGUUUUGAAAACUCCAUAAGGAAGUAGCUCUGAUUUCAUAGCACCAGAAUUAAUUUUUUCUAACAUCACCUUUAAAAAUAUAUAUCAACAGCAAACAGCAACAAAGCUGGUUGACAGCGCAUAUGCCAUAGAUACAGAUGGAAAAAACAUAACAUUGUAGAGUGAAGAGAGUACACUUAAAGAAAAGUAGCAAUGGUUAUGAGUGCAUUUAAUAUUUGUGCAUUCACUGAAAUAGGGUUUAGUUCUGAUAAAUCUGAAGUUUAUCUUUAGGUUUGGAUGCUGAAUCAAUGCCAUCUAGUGGUGGUAGAUGUGUUCUGGUCUUAAAGUUCACAGCCAUUUUAACAUCACUGAAGUUCCACCUAAUUAACACUUUCUUGGUGUCUUUCAUACCCUUUUAAAACUAGUCUAAAUGUUCGAUCCAGAUUAAACAACUAAGAGCCACUGAUAUAUAUAAUGAUCGAUUAUUCAUUAAUUUACUAAUUCAAAAAUGUUCAAGUUUCUAUUAAUUCAAAUAACUGUAUCACAGAUGAAGGCUUUGUUCUGUUAAAGGCAGCAUUAAAUGACAACUUAUUUAAUCCUUCUAAUUUUUAAACGAACGUCUUUGCUUCACCAUAGAUUAAAGAGACAGAACCACUACACUAAAAAAGCCAUGUGAGUUUACCUAAAUAAAGGUAUUUCCUCACUGUGAGUUGCUUUUUAUUAGCUUUUAACUAGCUCCUAGUUUGCAGGUGUUUGUCAUCACACCUGGCCCCUCAGCAAUAAAUUCUUCUGAGACAACAAGAUCUGAGAAGAACGAGAGUUAACAUGUAGGAUUCAUUUCAAAGCUACACAGCAAGGCAAGGAAGUUCUGAGCCCUCUGUAGUCAUUUAUAUAAAAAAUAAGCUAUUUUGGUGGUCUGUUGUUUGCUUACAGAGUAUGGGCAGAAGUGAAAUGUCAGAAAUAAAUGUAAACUUAUCUCAUUACCCCUACAGGUUGGUAGUGGUGGUGGGCGUAAAUCAGGAGAUAAACACAGUUGUGAGCAUUAUACUUAUGGACCAUGCAACUAUUACAGCAGGAGUGCUGAAAGGGCAUCCUCUGGCCUAACUGAUCAUUUCCUUAAUAUAUUCCUUAUUCGAGGACUUUUAGUAGACUAUGCACAUUCAUAAACGUUUGGUAUUCUGUUGAGUGCUCUGUAUCAAAAUGCAUAUCUCAGAUAUGCUAUUUCUCUGAUUUAUUCCUGCUAUAAAUGCCGAUUUACAGCUUACCUGUAGGUGACAGAAGGACAGAUGAGUUGGAAGUUGCACUGAAAUGUGAAAUAGUUCUUUGCUGAGUAAGAAAACUUGGUAAAAAUUUGCAUAUCUUCUCAUUUGUGCCCAAAGGAAUUUCAACACAACUAAAGUUGAAAAAGCAUAAGAUUCUGUGGGCAGGAGCCCCAGAAAAAUUGCAGUGAGAGGAUCCUUUGCUUUGUGUUUAUGUCUUCUUCUGUUACAUUGUCCUCUUUGUAUGUUUAUUCCUAUUCUUUUUCUCUUAUAUGUUUCAUGAGCUUCUUCAAAUAUGUCCUUUUAAAAAAAGUGAAAAUUCAGUCUUGUCUUGUAAUUAGUGCUGCUAUAGGAGAUUAGGCUUUGAGAAGUUAGCUGCUGCUAGGAGGCACUGCCAGCUUUUUUCCCUUUAUGAGAAGUCCUUUGGGACUUUAUGGAAAAAAAAAAAAAAAAAAGCCAGACAGUGCAACUACAGGUUCUUAUAUCAGCUCUAACAUGUUUUUUACAAGUGGACAAAAAUCAAUGAAUACAAAAUCUUCUAAGACAUUUGCAAAAGCAAAGAAUAUUUAUCUAAACAGUACAUGAAAAACAAAGAAAGAGCAUCUGCAGUUGUAUUUAUAUAAUAUCACAUUAUGUUAUAUAUAUAUAUAUUAUAAUGCAACGUGCAACCUGUAACAGACAGGAAUCACAUACAAUUCUUGUUUCCUUUCCAAACGAUUGUUGUUUAUUCUGUUCCUUACAG
RNAcentral lists this long non-coding RNA (7271 nucleotides) under Gallus gallus (chicken). RNAcentral describes it as "lncRNA (ENSGALG00010002278.1)". The record is from RNAcentral. Lineage: Eukaryota; Metazoa; Chordata; Aves; Galliformes; Phasianidae.